Molecule: ribosomal RNA, 440 nt
Filed under: uncultured bacterium
Lineage: Bacteria
Description: partial 16S ribosomal RNA
Rfam family: Bacterial small subunit ribosomal RNA
Source: RNAcentral
CCUACGGGUGGCAGCAGUAGGGAAUAUUGCACAAUGGGGGAAACCCUGAAGCAGCAACGCCGCGUGGAGGAUGAAGGUUUUCGGAUUGUAAACUCCUUUUGUUAGAGAAGAUAAUGACGGUAUCUAACGAAUAAGCACCGGCUAACUCCGUGCCAGCAGCCGCGGUAAUACGGAGGGUGCAAGCGUUACCCGGAAUCACUGGGCGUAAAGAGCGCGUAGGCGGGAUAGCAAGUCAGAUGUGAAAUCCUAGGGCUUAACCAUAGAACUGCAUUUGAAACUGUUAUUCUAGAGUAUGGGAGGGGGAGGUGGAAUUCUUGGUGUAGGGGUAAAAUCCGUAGAGAUCAAGAGGAAUACUCAUUGCGAAGGCGACCUGCUAGAACAUAACUGACGCUGAUGCGCGAAAGCGUGGGGAGCAAACAGGAUUAGAUACCCCAGUAGUC